UACGGGGGGGCUAGCGUUGUUCGGAAUUACUGGGCGUAAAGGGCGCGUAGGCGGUCUGCUAAGUUGGAUGUGAAAACUCUGGGCUUAACCCAGAGCCUGCAUUCAAUACUGACAGGCUAGAGUUCUGGAGGGGAUAGCGGAAUUCCUGGUGUAGCGGUGAAAUGCGCAGAUAUCAGGAGGAACACCGGUGGCGAAGGCGGGUCUCUGGGCCGUAACUGACGCUGAGGAGCGAAAGCAUGGGGAGCGAACAGG
Molecule: ribosomal RNA, 252 nt
Filed under: uncultured bacterium
Lineage: Bacteria
Description: partial 16S ribosomal RNA
Rfam family: Bacterial small subunit ribosomal RNA
Source: RNAcentral